GUGCUCCUCCGGGAGGCUCAGGCCGCGCAGGAGCCCACGGCGGGGCGGGGGAGCUCAGUUAUGGCGGGCUGCGGGUCCCGAGCCCUGCCCAGCGGGGAGGCAGCUAAGGCCUGGCGAGAAAUCGAGUGCAGCGCCGGUGGGCCAGCACUGCUGGGGGACCAGGCGCACCCUCCGCAGCUGCUGGCCUGGAUGCUAAGCCCCUCACUGCCUGGGGCAGCAGGGCUGGCCGGCCGCUCCGAGUGCGGGGCCGCCAAGCCCACGCCCACCCGGAACUCUAGCUGGCCCGCAAGCGCCACGCGCAGCCCCGGUUCCCGCCCGUGCCUCUCCCUCCAAACCUCCCCACAAGCCGAGGGAGCCAGCUCCGGCCUCGGCCAGCCCAGAGAAGGUCUCCCACGGUGCAGCGGCGGGCUGAAGGGCUCCUCAAGUGCGGCCAGAAUGGGCGCCGAGGCCAAGGGGGCACCGAGAGCGAGCCAGGGCUGUGAGGGCCGCCAUCACGCUGUCACCUCUCACAGGAGCGAUAUGGGAGAGGAGGAGGGGGAAAGCCAAAGGAUAAUAACUCCGGGCUCCCCAGCCUUUGGACUCCAGUGCUUAACAAGAAGGCCCCUUCAGGAUUCUCAGACCUUUGGUUUUGGACUGAGAAAUACACCAUUGGCUUUCCUGGUUCUGAGGCUUUUGGUCUUGGACUGAGCCACGCCGUCAGCAUCCCAGGGUUUGCAGCUUGCAGAUCGCCUGUCAUGGGACUUCUCAGCCUCCAUAAUCACAUGCUGGAAGAAGACUUUUCAUGCCUUUUCUUAGAGACAGGGUCUCACUCUGUCACCCAGGCUGGAGAGCAGGGGCGCAAUCAGAACUCACUGCAGCCUCCAACUCCUGGGCUCAAGCAAUCCUCCCACCUCCACCUCCUGAGUAACUGGAACUACAGGAUCGAGAACAUCCUGGAAGUAAGAGCGGAAGCAGAAAAGCCAGCAAAGCAGGCCAUCACAAUAGACGUGGCGUGAGAUGGAGGCCUCAUGAGACAGCAGAUGACCAGUUACAGGAGAAUCAUCAGAAAGAGAACAAGAAAGACUGAGGUAAAAAUGACUAACGGUGUUUUUGUGCUCCCUUCCUGCUUUCCUUUGAAGGAUAAUCAUUGGUUUAUCAAAAAAUGUACUUGCCAUGAAUUAUAUCACAUGCUUCUAGAAAUAUGAGUUAUAUAGAAAUGUUGGAAUAUAAGCUAUGUUAUAUGGAGUCUUUUUGUUAACAGGAAUUUUCCUAAUUCUUUAUGAUUCUCUAUGCCUAUAUGAAUCCAAAGCUGUUUCAUUUUAUUUUGGGCCCAAAUACUUUAUUAUAAUCAUAAUAACAAGCCUACAAUAAUUUUGCAGGCUUGCUAAUAGAGAGCCUACAGUUUGUUGUUUAUCAAGCCAGCAUUUGAGUUAGGCCUCAUAAAUAUGCCCAGACCUGAGGCGUAAAUUGUAUGCUAAAUAGGAAGGGAAGCCUGUGCUCUGCAGAAUAGUUCACUGAGGAGAGCCUCUCUAAGCUGUGAGAUUCUAAAAAAGGACUAAAAAUUUGGAGAUAAUUGUCUCUACUCCAUGCCCAAUGGACACAUCCAUAUAGAAAAUAUCCCUUUUAUUAACUUCACUUUUUUUUUAGAACAAACUUUUCAACACACCCCUUGCCAUGAGCAGGGUGGAUAUGACAAGGCAACCAACACUCUGACACAAUAAUAGAGCUCUAAGCCAAGACAGUUUCAAUGUGACCUUUCAUUUUCUCUAAUUGCCUUUCUCUUAUUAAUCCUGAUCUGCCUAUUAUUGAUAGUAUCAUUACGCUAUGCUUCUAAUGACUUUGCCUGGGAGGAUCAGGAGUUUUUUAAAUAUUUGGAAUGUUAUUUAGCAGAAAAACUUGGUGGGGAAGGAAAAGUAUCAUAAUUAAAAGUAACAGUUCUCAGGCUUUCUCACUACUCUUCCUACCUAAAUCCUAACCAUCUCUUAAAAUAUACCUUAGCUGCUGCAUCCUCCAUGAAUUUUCUUGGACUGCAUUAGUCCAAUGAUUAGAUUUUUGCUCUUACUAUUCAUUUGACUCAACUGAUACUUUUUAUGCCACUCUAAUCUAUGGUACAUUAUUUAUAUAGAUUGUCUUAAGUCCUUCACUGAGUUGUAAGCUCUUUGAGGUUAAUACUUAGGAAUAUGAUAACACAAUGUGAAUAAGCCUCAUUGUCAUUUCUUGUCACUUUCUUGUUACUUUCUCAAUAAGCCUCAUUGAGGCUUAUUCUCAUUGUAUUCUCAUGUUUCUAAACACUAUUCUCUCUGCCAGUAGUAAAUUUUUAUCAUAAUCGUAUUGAUAAUGUUAAUGCCAUUUUAUAUUUAUAUUAUUUAUUGGGUUUUACAAAAUAUUUUCAUGUAUAUGAUCUUUUAAAUUCUCCCCACUGUCCUGUGUGUGAGGUGUCUACUCUAAUUUUAGAGAUGAAAAAGUAGAAUCAAAUGAAAAUUUAAGUUAUUUAUCAAAAGUCAAAACAUAUCAUAGAAUUUAUUGAUUAAGUAGGAAGAUUUCAGUAUUGUUGUUAUCUCAGCUCUGACUUUAUUGUGAUUAAUGCAGUAAAGUAGAAAUAAACUCACAAAAUUUUUACACUUUGGAAAAACCCAAGAAGGUUAAAGGCUCUCAGACGAAUGGGGACAGGUUACAUAUGACUCAUUAUCUUUGGAUAUGCAUAUGCUGUUCCCCCAGUAGGAAGAAAAAAGAGGAGGCAAAAGCAAGGUUACUGCUUCCACCUGAAUCACUUUUAUGUGAAUUAGAAAGAGGCUCCUCCUCUGCGUAGUGCAGCACUGAGUUGAUGGUGCGUUGAGCCAUUUGCCUCCUGCUCAGCACCUUGGACAGCACCAGCCUGUUCAAAUGCACGGCAGUCAGGUGUAAAUGCUGGGAAAUAGAUGGCUGUGGAAGGGAUUAUAUGGUCCAGUGUGGGUCCUGGCAUAGAAGGAAUAAAUGAUAUUGGACACGUGUAUUGAGAGGGUCAAUUAAGAAAGGAGUAUAAGCUAACUGAUACCUUUAGAAGUACUCCUUUUUUUGGCAUAGGGUAAAAAUUAUUGUUACGGUUCUUUAGACCCAUGUACUCUGGAAAAAUAAUUUUUCAUAGUAAACAGAGAACAGAAUUUAGGAAAGUUGAUUGUAUUUUUGGUUCAACUCAAGAGACAUGAGCUCUUAAAAUACCCCAAAUCUUUCAGCCUAUGAGUUAUUUUAAUCCAUGUGCUAUCCCAUUCUUGAAGGUACAUUUGAGAAUCUCAAAAAGGGAAGUCAUCCUCUCUCCAGAAAAAUAAAUAACACAUGCACAUAACUAUUUCACAAUUAGUUUUAGUGGUUACAUGGGUGAAUUUUGGGGUUUAGUGGGUCUGUUUCCAAACCUGGCUAGUUGUCACAAUUAUUGGAGGUCCUUUCAAACAUGCAGAUUACCUGCCUCCACCAUGGCAGAUUCUGAUUAAUGAAUUUGAUAAUAAGCCUAAUAUAUUUGAAUUAUGCUCUUACAUACAAGGUGAGAUCGAAGGAAGAAAAAGUCAACCAAGAAGAAGUGACAAGAAAAGUAGUUAAAGGCUGUUUUUAUGCUGCCAGGCAUAAACCAGAGACAAAUGUAGAUAUUUGAAAAAUAUACUUCAAGAAUGAUUUUCUCAUUAAAAUAUUUCUCUUAUUUUGUCUAUAAUACUCAUAAAAUAAAGUAGAUAAUGCAAGGCAAUGGGCAGAGGAAGGGUUUUUACAAUAUAGUGUGUAGAGGAAGGGCUUGCAGGAGGUAACACAGAGGGGAAGGUUCUCUUUCCACAGUUGGUAGCUUCCAUAGAAUCCCUGGUAGUAUGACCAACCUGGAGGCAUAAAACUUCUAGAAGAUGACUUUGUGUUUUCACUUUGUUGGUGUGAAUAGUUGAGUGAAAAUAUCCAACUCAUUUUAGGUGAGGAGGUGAUUAAUCAGUCAUACAAAAAUGAUCAGUAAUAAUGAAGUUAUAAGCAACAUUCUCUGAUGAAAUCCACUCCCACCACAAAAAAAAAGCCUUGUAAAAAAGUUAACAGAUUUGCAUCGAGAUGUUUUGAAAUAUUGAAAAAGUUUUCUUCAUGAAUUUUCACUGGGAAAACAAAAUAUACCAUUUGUAAGAAUUGCUUCUUUGCUGCCUCACACAAAGAAAACAGUAUUGGGCUAAACAUUACAUGUAAAAGGAUCCUUUGGGGGCAAAAUCUCUAUCACCAAGCAUUGAUUCCUUUCCUGUCUUCUGGUUUAGUACCAAUUACAGAGAUUAAAUUUUAGUUUCUAAUAUUAAUUAAUAUUGCAAAUACAACAAAUUUACAUGUUGAUGAAAACAAUAUGUAGGGAAUUUUUUUUUCUGUCAGCAGAACUUUCCCCUAAUUUGUUCCUCUUAAAUUUAACUUGUU
Molecule: RNA transcript, 4380 nt
Organism: Pan troglodytes (chimpanzee)
Lineage: Eukaryota; Metazoa; Chordata; Mammalia; Primates; Hominidae
Exons: 5
Source: RefSeq, a predicted model, not a curated record